This 392-nucleotide ribosomal RNA is filed under the name uncultured bacterium. RNAcentral describes it as "bacterial SSU rRNA". It matches the Rfam family "Bacterial small subunit ribosomal RNA", at positions 28 to 415 of the family's 1533-position model. The record is from RNAcentral.
GAUGAACGCUAGCGGCAGGCUUAAUACAUGCAAGUCGUGGGGCAGCAUGAGUAGCAAUACUUGAUGGCGACCGGCAAACGGGUGAGGAACACGUACACAACCUUCCUUCAAGCGGGGAAUAGCCCAGAGAAAUUUGGAUUAAUACCCCAUAAUAUAUUUGAUAAGGCAUCUUAUUAAUAUUAAAGCUUCGGCACUUGAUGAUGGGUGUGCGGCUGAUUAGAUAGUUGGCGGGGUAACGGCCCACCAAGUCUACGAUCAGUAGCUGAUGUGAGAGCAUGAUCAGCCACACGGGCACUGAGACACGGGCCCGACUCCUACGGGAGGCAGCAGUAAGGAAUAUUGGACAAUGGACGAAAGUACUGAUCCAGCCAUGCCGCGUGAAGGAUUAAGGU